CCAACUAAGUUUGUUCUUGGUAUAAGCUUUCGUGUGCAUGCAGACUUCUUCAGAUAAGUGUGCAUGCACACGAAAGCUUAUACCAAGAACAAACUUAGUUGG
Podarcis lilfordi (Lilford's wall lizard) is the source of this 102-nucleotide non-coding RNA. The record is from the annotation of a GenBank genome assembly. NCBI's taxonomy places the organism in Eukaryota, Metazoa, Chordata, Lepidosauria, Squamata, Lacertidae.